CCUACGGGUGGCAGCAGUGAGGGAUAUUGGUCAAUGGGGGAAACCCUGAACCAGCAAAGCCGCGUGAGGGAAGACGGUUUUCGGAUUGUAAACCUCUGUCCUCUGUGAAGAUAAUGGCGGUAGCAGAGGAGGAAGCUCCGGCUAACUAAGUGCCAGCAGCCGCGGGAAUACGUAGGGAGCAAGAGUUGUCCGGAUUUACUGGGUGUAAAGGGUGCGUAGGCGGCUUUUCAAGUCAGAAGUGAAAGCAAUGGGCUUAACCCAUGAACUGCUUUUGAAACUGCAGAGCUUGAGUGGAGUAGAGGUAUGCGGAAUUCCCGGUGUAGCGGUGAACUGCGUAGAGAUCGGGAGGAACACCAGUGGCGAAGGCGGCCUGCUGGGCUCUAACUGACGCUGAGGCACGAAAGCGUGGGUAGCAAACAGGAUUAGAUACCCCAGUAGUC
This 440-nucleotide ribosomal RNA is filed under the name uncultured bacterium. RNAcentral's name for it is "partial 16S ribosomal RNA". It matches the Rfam family "Bacterial small subunit ribosomal RNA", at positions 338 to 795 of the family's 1533-position model. The record is from RNAcentral.